Molecule: unclassified non-coding RNA, 588 nt
Filed under: Hevea brasiliensis (rubber tree)
Lineage: Eukaryota; Viridiplantae; Streptophyta; Magnoliopsida; Malpighiales; Euphorbiaceae
Source: RNAcentral
AAUUUAUCUACGUGAGGCAAGGGCAGAUGAAGACUUAAAGUUACGGAUCAACUCAAUAGCUUUUGCCUGAAUCCUAUAUUUCUAUCUAAGAAUUCACUCAAUAUCAAUACAUAUUUGAUCGUGAACACAGUACAGGAACCAGUAAACUUCAAAUUCUGAAUCUGCCUCUACUUUCGGGAACAUGAAAAGGGCACUGCAUUUGCAUGAUACUUAGAAGCUAUGAUACAGUAUUGAUCAAUAAUUUGCUGCAACUAUGGAUCACCUUGUCAUAAAGCACUGUGUAAUUUGAGCUGCUUAUGUUCCUGAAGUAGCAGCCUUUGUCGUCGUUGUAUUUGUAUAUCUGUUGUGUGCUCCCGACUCCACUGUCUAUCGACUGAUCCUUUACAAGCAUACACCCCUGCGCGUUCUGCAGAUUGUGAACAGAGCUGGCUGAGGAUCCAUACUUCAACCUCUUUUCAUGGAAUAUCAAAGUCACAUUCGAGAUAGAAGCAUAGCUUUUAUCUCCUAUCUCAACACCAUCAGAGUACAAGUGAAGCUGAAACUUUUUGAAGGAUUCAAGAACCUGAACAGAAAAAGACCGCGUCUUAG